GAGUUUGAUCAUGGCUCAGAUUGAACGCUGGCGGCAGGCCUAACACAUGCAAGUCGAACGGUAACAGCAGAGCUUGCUCUGGCUGACGAGUGGCGGACGGGGACGAGUGGCGGACGGGUGAGUAACGCGUAGGAAUCUACCCAGUAGUGGGGGACAACUUGGGGAAACUCAAGCUAAUACCGCAUACGCCCUACGGGGGAAAGCGGGGGACCUUCGGGCCUCGUGCUACUGGAUGAGCCUGCGUUAGAUUAGCUAGUUGGUAGGGUAAAGGCCUACCAAGGCGACGAUCUAUAGCUGGUCUGAGAGGAUGAUCAGCCACACUGGAACUGAGACACGGUCCAGACUCCUACGGGAGGCAGCAGUGGGGAAUAUUGCACAAUGGGCGCAAGCCUGAUGCAGCCAUGCCGCGUGUGUGAAGAAGGCUCUAGGGUUGUAAAGCACUUUAAGCAGGGAGGAAGGCCAGUUAGUUAAUAUCUGACUGGAUUGACGUUACCUGCAGAAUAAGCACCGGCUAACUCCGUGCCAGCAGCCGCGGUAAUACGGAGGGUGCAAGCGUUAAUCGGAAUUACUGGGCGUAAAGCGCGCGUAGGCGGUUUGCUAAGCCAGAUGUGAAAGCCCCGGGCUCAACCUGGGAACUGCAUUUGGAACUGGCAGGCUCCGGCCGCAAGGUUAAAACUCAAAUGAAUUGACGGGGUCCCGCACAAGCGGUGGAGCAUGUGGUUUAAUUCGAUGCAACGCGAAGAACCUUACCUGGUAUUGACAUCCUACGAACUUACUAGAGAUAGUUUGGUGCCUUCGGGAACGUAGUGACAGGUGCUGCAUGGCUGUCGUCAGCUCGUGUUGUGAAAUGUUGGGUUAAGUCCCGUAACGAGCGCAACCCUUAUCCUUAUUUGCCAGCACGUAAUGGUGGGAACAUAGGAGACUGCCGGGGAUAACUCGGAGGAAGGCGGGGAUGACGUCAAGUCAUCAUGCCCCUUAUGUUCAGGGCUGCACGCAUGCUACAAUGGGUGAUACAACGGGCAGCGAUCCGGCAACGGUGAGCGAAUCCCUUAAAGUUAUCCUCAGUUCGGAUUGAAGUCUGCAACUCGACUUCAUGAAGCCGGAGUCGCUAGUAAUCGCGGAUCAGCAAAGCCGCGGUGAAUACGUUCUCGGGGUUUGUACACACCGCCCGUCACAUCACGGAAGUCGGUAACGCCCGAAGUCAGUGGCCCAACCCCUUGGGGAGGGAGCUGCCGAAGGCGGGAUCGGUGACUGGGAUGAAGUCGUAACAAGGUAGCCGUACGGGAACGUGCGGCUGGAUCACCUCCUUU
RNAcentral lists this ribosomal RNA (1310 nucleotides) under uncultured prokaryote. RNAcentral describes it as "partial 16S ribosomal RNA". It matches the Rfam family "Bacterial small subunit ribosomal RNA". The record is from RNAcentral.